AAACUCAAAGGAAUUGACGGGGGCCCGCACAAGCGGAGGAACAUGUGGUUUAAUUCGAUGAUACGCGAGGAACCUUACCUGGGCUUAAAUGCAAAACGACGGAUCGGGAAACUGAUCCUUCUUCGGACGGCUUGCAAGGUGCUGCAUGGCUGUCGUCAGCUCGUGCCGUGAGGUGUCGGGUUAAGUCCCAUAACGAGCGCAACCCCCAUCAUUAGUUGCCAGCGGAUAAUGCCGGGGACUCUAAUGAAACUGCCGGUGUAAACCGAGAGGAAGGUGGGGAUGACGUCAAGUCAGCACGGCCCUUAUGUCCAGGGCUACACACGUGUUACAAUGGUCGGUACAAAGGGCAGCUACCUGGUGACAGGAUGCUAAUCUCUAAAACCGAUCUCAGUUCGGAUCGAAGUCUGCAACUCGACUUCGUGAAGCUGGAUUCGCUAGUAAUCGCGCAUCAGCCAUGGCGCGGUGAAUACGUUCCCGGGCCUUGUACACACCGCCCGUCAAGCCAUGGAAGCUGGGGGUACCUGAAGUCCGUAACCGUAAGGAGCGGCCUAGGGUAAAACUAGUAACUGGGGCUAAGUCGUAACAAGGUA
RNAcentral lists this ribosomal RNA (590 nucleotides) under uncultured bacterium. Its description in RNAcentral is "bacterial SSU rRNA". It matches the Rfam family "Bacterial small subunit ribosomal RNA", at positions 897 to 1498 of the family's 1533-position model. The record is from RNAcentral.